This 297-nucleotide ribosomal RNA is filed under the name uncultured bacterium. RNAcentral's name for it is "partial 16S ribosomal RNA". It matches the Rfam family "Bacterial small subunit ribosomal RNA", at positions 355 to 644 of the family's 1533-position model. The record is from RNAcentral.
UAGGGAAUCUUCCACAAUGGACGCAAGUCUGAUGGAGCAACGCCGCGUGAGUGAAGAAGGUUUUCGGACCGUAAAGCUCUGUUGUUGGUGAAGAAGGAUAGAGGUAGUAACUGGCCUUUAUUUGACGGUAAUCAACCAGAAAGUCACGGCUAACUACGUGCCAGCAGCCGCGGUAAUACGUAGGUGGCAAGCGUUGUCCGGAUUUAUUGGGCGUAAAGCGAGCGCAGGCGGAAGAAUAAGUCUGAUGUGAAAGCCCUCGGCUUAACCGAGGAAUUGCAUCGGAAACUGUUUUUCUUG